Molecule: small RNA, 4828 nt
Filed under: Pongo abelii (Sumatran orangutan)
Lineage: Eukaryota; Metazoa; Chordata; Mammalia; Primates; Hominidae
Description: retained intron
Source: RNAcentral
ACCGCGACGCCGAAGACAGGGUCUGAAGAGCUACUCAGGGCCAACCCUGCACUGGAGACAGGAAGCUGGGCACCUGGAUGAGCCUCUGACCCAGAGCCCUGGAGCCCACAGGCUCAUCUGAGAACCAGACACACUUAGUCACUCCAGCUCCACGGGCAGGCACCUGCACAGAGGCUCCUGCUGCUGCUUCAAAGCUGCAUGAGCUACUUGGAGAACCUUGGCUCAGAGCAGAUGAUGCCCCCUGCACAGGCUGUGGGGCCCUGCAUGUCCGUGGGGCUCACGGUGCGGCGCUUCUGGGACAGCCUGCUGAGGCUGGGCACAUUCCACCAGCAGCCACUCCCACAGAAAGGGGCAAACCAAAGGGAGACUCCCACCUCCAAGCCCACCACCAAGGGCGAGCCAGCCAGGAGCCCUGAAUGUCUGACUGCCAAGUUCAUCAAGCCCUCCUCCCCAGUGCUAGGCUUGCCCCAGACCUGCCAAGAGCCAGAGAGCAUCCCUGUCAGAGCCUCCCUGCACUUCCCAGCCACGACCUCCAAGAACACCAGGAGUGUCCACUCCCAGACCAUUGAGACAGCCCUGGUGCCCUGUGACGCAUGCGCCAGCGUCCAGGGAAGCCUGCAGAAGGUGGGCAAGGCGGUCAUCAGCCUGUGUCAGCGCCAGAACCUGCCCUCGUCCUUAGGCCAGUUCCAGCAACUGGUGCAGGACAGCAUGGGGCUUAGGCCACUGCCGGCUGCCACUGUGGGCCGCUGGGCAGCAGAGCAGAGGAAAGACCUGACACGCCUCAGUAAGCAUGUGGAGGCCCUCAGGGCCCAGCUGGAGGAGGCCGAAGGGCAGAAGGAUGGCCUGAGGAAGCAGGCGGGCAAGCUGGAGCAGGCGCUGAAACAGGAGCAGGGGGCACGGCGGCGACAGGCGGAGGAGGAUAAGCAGUGCCUGUCUGAGUGGGAGCACGACAAACAGCAGCUGCUAACAGGUCUGUGCCCCAGAAGCCAGACGCCUGGUGCCCAGGGCCUCUGCCACAGCCUUUGCAUGGAUGUUUGUGAGACAGGGCUUCCAGGGCAAGUGGUUUGUGUGGAAGAACCCAGGCUGGGACACAGGCAAGAGGCAGGGAAGGGAGGGCAGCAAGGAAGGCUGUGUUCAUCCAGUGAUGACACUGUGAUCUCAGUCCCGCUGGGGCCACCAGGAGCUGGGCUAGGACACUUGCCCAGACUCGUCCCUCGGUCAGGGAGGGAACCGAGGUAUGUAUCCACUUGCACUGUCAGUCACUGAGGGCUACUUCCAGAGAGUUAUUCCCCUGGCACUGCCAAGCAGAGCAGCCUCUCUGGUUUUGGCAAAAGCCAUUAGAGACAAAGUUCCUGGCAUCAGAAGUUGGCCAGUGCCCACUGAUGGGAGGCCUGAGGGAUUUGCCCUUUCUGAGCCUCACAGUUGCCUCCAUGGAUGACACCAAGGCCCAGAAAGGUGUAGACACAUCACAGCCAGCCCAUGAGAAGCAGGGUGGAUAAGGGCCCAGCCGCUUCCACCAGCCUCCCUAGAGCUCCUCCCAUGGCCGCAGGCGGCCCCUCUGCAGGCGAUGGGCUGCCUUCACUCCACGGGGCACACUGGGCAUGAAGGCCACCGGCCAGGUCCAUGGGACCCUCUGAAGGGCCUCUCUCUUGGCUGCCAUAGAAACAAGUGACCUAAAGACAAAGAUGGCCACCCUGGAGAGGGAACUGAAACAGCAGCGGGAGUCCACGCAGGCUGUGGAGGCAAAGGCCCAGCAGCUGCAGGAGGAAGGCGAGCGCAGGGCGGCAGCGGAGAGGCAGGUGCAGCAGCUGGAGGAGCAGGUGCAGCAGUUGGAGGCUCAGGUGCAGCUGUUGGUGGGUCGGCUGGAGGGCGCUGGCCAGCAGAUCUGCUGGGCCAGCACGGAGCUGGAUAAGGAGAAGGCCCGUGUCGACAGCAUGGUCCGCCACCAGGAGUCUCUGCAGGCCAAGCAGCGAGCCCUGCUAAAGCAGCUGGACAGCCUGGACCAGGAACGUGAGGAGCUGCAGGGCAGCCUGGACGAGGCUGAGGCCCAGCGGGCCUGCGUGGAGGAGCAGCUGCAGAGCGAGCGGGAGCAGGGGCAAUGCCAGCUCAGGGCCCAGCAGGAGCUGCUGCAGAGCCUGCAGAGGGAGAAGCAAGGCCUGGAGCAGGCGACUACGGACCUGCGGCUAACCAUCCUGGAGCUAGAACGGGAGCUGGUGGAGCUGAAGGAGCGGGAGCGGCUGCUGGUGGCCUUCCCAGACCUGCACAGGCCCACCGAGACCCAGAUCCAUGAUCCAGCAGCGUGGAAUCCCAGAUAACAUGUCCCACAGACUCUGGCAACGUCACAGAUCACAUGGAGAGGCAAGUGCAGGCCAACGACAUCCGCAUCCGGGUCCUACAGGAGGAGAACGGGCGGCUCCAAUCAAUGCUGUCCAAAAUCCGGGAAGUGGCCCAGCAGGGUGGCCUCAAGCUGAUCCCGCAGGACCGGCUCUGGUCCCCUUCCAGCAAGGGAACCCAGGGAGCAACACCGCCAGUCCAGGCCCAGAGCACAUCCCCAGUCCAGGCCCAGAGCACGUCCCCAGGGCCUCUGGGCAGACAGCACCUUCCUAGCAGCAGGACGGGCAGGACCCUGCUGGGCCAGCCCUGCACAUCCCCACCUCGGCAGCCCUGCGCAUCCGCAUCUCAGCAGCCCUGUGCAUCCCCACCUCGGCAGCCCUGCGCAUCCCCACCUCGGCAGCCCUGCACAUUCCCACCUCGGCAGCCCUGCAGCCAGCCCAGCAAGUCCUUGCUGGAGGGUGUGACCCACGUGGACACCUGCACCCAGAACCCCAUCAAGGCCUUGGUCAGACUGAGGAAGAGACUGUCACCUGGCCGGGGACAGGCCAGCUCUGCACACCAGCCCCAGGAGCGGCCCAUGUAGCCUGUGGCCCAGGGCUGAGGCUGGAUGGGAGGUGGCUGGCAGCCCACCCACUAUAAUAAAGCCCCAGCCAUUGGCCCACAGCAAUCUUUGCCUCACAGUAUGACUAAGCCAAGGAAAGACCCUUCCUUCCCUGUCCUGGGCAGGGGCCACUGAGUCCCCAGCCAUGUAGUUCAGUCAGUCAGCAGAGUCCUGGCACUAUGGGCCCUCAGUAAAAGGGGCCUUCCUGCUUCCCUCCCGGCAGAGGCUGUGGGAUAGGAGAGUACACCCAGGGCAGAGGAAGCUCCUAGGACCCGGGCCAGGUGAAGGGCCGUUUUUCUAUCCCCAGAGCAAGGGUCGAGGGGUGAACCUGGCCUCAGUGGCCCACAUCGACUCAGAAAGGGCUCUGGUGGGAGGGGACAGAGGAAGGGCCGGUGAGGAGGUCUGAAGCAGGCAGAGGGCAGCAACGCCUUCAGCCUCCCACUCGGGCUCUGGACCUGCGCUGGGCACAUUAAGGACCCAAGAGGUCAGGCCUCCUUUCACUGAGGAACUCCUUGCCUUUAGGAAAUGGUGACCGUCAUGAAGGUUUCUCUAAAUCCUGGAGGUCAUAGCCCCAGGAGGCCACUGAAGGCGGGGCAAGGCCUCCACCAAACAGAGGACACCGUGCCAGCCCUGGCUUUCCCAUCCCUGUCCCUUGGGGGUCUCUUCAGCCCAGGGUGCCAUGCGGCCAAGCAUCUGGGGCUCUGGUUUUCCUCAUGAAGCCACCAGCCUACCCUGAGCCACCUCACCUGUGAAGGACAGUUUCCAAAACCUUGCUGAGGCCUUCUCAGGGUGCACGCUCCCAGAUGCCUGAAGCAUUUUCCCUUGGUGAAGAGGCUGUCAGGUAGGGCACCUCAGUUCACAGAGAAGGGUCAAGAGGGGCCAUGUAUAUAGCUGAGCUACCACAGCCUUGGUCGGCCCAACUUCCUGCUUCUGAGGGGCCUGGGAGUUCCUGAGGGAGGCUGGGGUGCCCUGGGCACCCCCCUCACAGGGGAGCACCAUCCCUCAGCACCCUGAGCCGGAAGGCCUGUGCUCAAGUCCAGGGGAAGGACCUCACAGCUGAGCAGCUCUCUCAGGCGCCCAUCAACUCCGUGGCCAUGUAUUCAUUAGCUCCCAGUUCUGGCGGCAGAAGUCCGGGUUCUGUGUGGCUGGGUUUUUUUGCUCCCGGGUCCCAGAGGGCUAAAAUUGAGGCAUCUACCAGGUUGCGUUCCUUUCUGCCAGUUCUGGGGAAGAAUUGGCUUCCAAGCUCCACUUGUUGGCAGAAUUCCGAUCCUUGCGGCCGUGGGACUGAGGUCCCCGUGUCCUCACUGGCUGGCUGUAAGCCAGGUCCUCUCUCGGCUCCUAGAGGCCGUCCACCUUCCUUGCCAUGGGGCUCCCUCCAUCUUCAAGUCAACAACAGAGGAUUUCUCAUGUGCUGAAUCCCCCACAUGCUUCAAUUCCCUGACUUCCUCCUCUUCUACUAGCAGAAAACUACUUUGAAUAGGCUCAUGUGGUUAGGGCAAGGCUCACUCAAAUACUUUCCCUAUCUUCAGGUCAGCUUGCCAUAAGACAGGACCCAACCAUGGGCGUAAAAUCCCUUUGAGAAGCCAGGCGCGGUGGCUCACGUCUGUAAUCCCAGUACUUUGGGAGGCUGAGGCAGGCGGAUCACCUGAGAUCGGGAGUUCGAGACCAGCCUGACCAACAUGGAGAAACCCUGUCUCUACUAAAAAUACAAAAUUAGCCGGGCGUGAUGGCGCAUGUCUGUAAUCCCAGCUACUUGGGAGGCUGAGGCAGGAGAAUUACUUGAACCCGGGAGGCGGAGGUUGCAGUGAGGUGAGAUCACGCCAUUGCACUCCAGCGUGGGCAACAAGAGUGAAACUCCAUCUCAAGAAAUAAAAAUAAAAUAAAUAAAUAAAA